GGGGGCUAUCAAGAUCUAAAAGCAUGUGAAAUGCACUGGGCUAAACGGCUCAAAGGACCAGAGGAAGAAAAGAGGCAGGCGGCGGGACUGAGUGCCCCGGGUCUAGCUGCACCAUGGACAGAGACUCUGCAAAAGACAAACCCAGCCCACACCCCUCUAGAGGGCGGCUGCAGCUAUAGCCAGCAACACCCCUGCCCCAGAGAAAUGGAGAAGGGGCGGGAGGAUGCCCGGACUACUCAGUACCGGGGCUCCCCAGCCCCCUCCGAGUCUGGUAUUCCCGGAGGAGACAGCUCCUCUCUGCCCCAAUCCUUAAAGACCAUUAAGAGGUGAGAGCGGCACCAUCAGUCCUAGUACAGCAAACCUUCGGCGCUGUUCCCCACCCUCAACACACACCUUGGGGGAAUCCCACCCAGUUCUGACUUUCCCUUUGUGCAAAGGAAGCAGCUUUUCGGUCGGCUUCCCAGAAAGAAGUCGGCCCCCUUCUUUCAGGGGAGCCACAUCCAGCCUCAGGACAUCACUGCUUGGGACGUGGGGGCAGGAGGAGUAAGGGGCAACAAGACCCAGCUUUUCUUCUUUCCCAAGUCUCCUGGCUUGGCUGCUAGAGGAUCCAGCGCCGGAGAGUCGGAGUACAAGCCUCCUGGGAGGCGGCAGAUGCACGCUAUCUAUUCCCAGGAUGGGAUUAGAGGGAAAGAUGGACAAGAGAAAUUGCCCGAAGAACCAGAACAAGACAAACAAAUACAAAUGAAGCAAAGUAGAAGAGGGCUAUAAAGCAGAAAAUGGUAAAUACAUGGAAAUUCCCCAACUAACAACAAUCCUAGCGUUUUUUUCCUGAAGAUCCCCUAGUCCCCAGAGAGGCGCCCCGGUGACCUGCUUCAACCCCCCCCCCCUCCCGGGCACUGCCAAAACAGUGCCUGCAAGCAACCUGCUCUGUCUGCCCACAACCCCCUGCCCCAGAUCCACCUUCUCCUUUUCCCCGGGCCGCACUCACAGCUUCCCCCUUGCUGGCUACAGCCGUGGUGCAGCAACCCCCGUCCCUCCCACUCCUUCCCGGGUGCAUCUCCCUGCACCGGAGCAGCAGUGCGGGGGAACAAAGGGACCCAGAGUCUCCACCCGCCCACACCCCACCCUCCUUCCGUCCCCAUC
Molecule: non-coding RNA, 1143 nt
Organism: Monodelphis domestica (gray short-tailed opossum)
Lineage: Eukaryota; Metazoa; Chordata; Mammalia; Didelphimorphia; Didelphidae
Source: RefSeq, a predicted model, not a curated record